Molecule: long non-coding RNA, 613 nt
Filed under: Pongo abelii (Sumatran orangutan)
Lineage: Eukaryota; Metazoa; Chordata; Mammalia; Primates; Hominidae
Description: lincRNA
Source: RNAcentral
GUUUUUCUCCCAGUGCAGGAAAACAUGAAGAAUGGGGAAAGUAGCUGCCGCAUGCCAAUGCGAAACUCCGAGGAGUCUAGCCAUUCUGAUCUGGCCUUCCAGGUCAUUAGGAGGCUCUGCCAUCACGUGAAGAGGGAGAGUCUGCUGUCUGGAGAGCACACUGGUCUCCAGUGUGGGGAGAGAGAGCAUUUUCCGGCUUUGCUGAGGAGGGUCUUCGGAAAAAAGAUGUGCAGCUCGGACAUGGAGGGCAGAAGUGCUCAGGAAGGAUCUUCUGCAUGCAGGAGCUUCCUCUCUCAAAAGGUGUUCUCCAAUCAUGAGCUUAUUUGCUGUUUACAUGCCUGAGGAGGACUGACCUUAGCAGCUAUGAUGACCUCAUUUAUCACUGUGGAUAAGCACUUGGCCAGGGUCUCGGCCAGCACCCCGGGCCCAGCCUCCCGGUCUACUCGUUUCUGGGGGUGGGGGCAUCUGCCCACUGUCCUGAACUUUUCUCUGCUUGGGUAGGGACAGGGAGCCCCAGCAGCACUUGUUCCAGGAUGACCCAGCAAAUUGCAAGGUGGCAUUUGGCCUUUUUCUCAGCAAUUGCCAGACUUUGUCCCAGGGUGAGGAGGAAGCC